GAUGGACCAUAUAUUUACAUAG
This 22-nucleotide non-coding RNA is filed under the name Arabidopsis thaliana (thale cress). The record is from RNAcentral. Lineage: Eukaryota; Viridiplantae; Streptophyta; Magnoliopsida; Brassicales; Brassicaceae.